This 184-nucleotide ribosomal RNA is filed under the name uncultured bacterium. RNAcentral's name for it is "partial 16S ribosomal RNA". It matches the Rfam family "Bacterial small subunit ribosomal RNA", at positions 1316 to 1500 of the family's 1533-position model. The record is from RNAcentral.
CUUCAUGAAGCUGGAAUUGCUAGUAAUGGCAGGUCAGCAUACUGCCGUGAAUACGUUCCCGGGCCUUGUACACACCGCCCGUCACACCAUGAGAGUUGGGGAUACCCGAAGCCUGUGAGCUAACUUAUAGAGGCAGCAGUCGAAGGUAGAAUCAAUGAUUGGGGUGAAGUCGUAACAAGGUACC